GACGAACGCUGGCGGCGUGCUUAACACAUGCAAGUCGUACGGUAAGGCCCUUUCGGGGGUCCACGAGUGGCGAACGGGUGAGUAACACGUGAGUAACCUGCCCACAACUUUGGGAUAACGCUAGGAAACUGGUGCUAAUACUGGAUAUGUGCUCCUGCUGCAUGGAGGGGGUUGGAAAGCUCCGGCGGUUGUGGAUGGACUCGCGGCCUAUCAGCUUGUUGGUGGGGUAGUGGCCUACCAAGGCGGCGACGGGUAGCCGGCCUGGGAGGGUGACCGGCCACAUUGGGACUGAGAUACGGCCCAGACUCCUACGGGAGGCAGCAGUGGGGAAUAUUGCACAAUGGGCGCAAGCCUGAUGCAGCAACGCCGCGUGCGGGAUGACGGCCUUCGGGUUGUAAACCGCUUUCAGCAGGGACGAAGCUUUUUGUGACGGUACCUGCAGAAGAAGCACCGGCUAACUACGUG
RNAcentral lists this ribosomal RNA (465 nucleotides) under uncultured bacterium. Its description in RNAcentral is "partial 16S ribosomal RNA". It matches the Rfam family "Bacterial small subunit ribosomal RNA", at positions 28 to 507 of the family's 1533-position model. The record is from RNAcentral.